AUGGCGGUGAAGGACUGCGGCGGGCACAAGGGCGGGGGCUGCGAGUGCCACCGCCGGCGGCUCUACCGCAAGUGCUGCGGCGCGCUGCUCGCCCUCGUCCUCCUCGCCCUCUUCAUCAUCCUCAUCGUCUACCUGGUGCUCCGCCCCCACAAGCCCCGCUUCUACCUGCAGGACCUGGCGGUGCUCUGCCUCAACGUCACGCCGCCCACCUCCGCCUACCUCUUCACCACCAUGCAGGCCACGGUCGCGGCGCGCAACCCCAACGACCGCGUCGGCGUCUACUACGACGAGGCGGACAUGUACGCGCAGUACAAGGGCGUCGCCAUCACCGUCCCCACCCGCCUCCCCGUCGCCUACCAGGGCCACCGCGACCAGUCCGUGUGGUCGCCGUAUCUGAGGUCCAUGGACAGCGUCGUGCUCCCGCCGCAGCUCGCCGUGGCGCUGGCGCAGGACGAGACGGCCGGGUACGUGCUGGUGGACGUGCGCGUGGACGGUCAGGUGCGCUGGAAGGUGGGCACGUGGAUCUCCGGCCACUACCACCUCCGGGUCAACUGCCCGGCGCUCAUCAGGGUGAACGAGGGCAAGGGCAGCUACGGCGCCACCACCGGCGGCGGCCCCGACUACUUCCGCUUCCAGCAGGCCGCCGCCUGCGCCGUCGACGUCUGA
RNAcentral lists this ribosomal RNA (666 nucleotides) under Triticum aestivum (bread wheat). Its description in RNAcentral is "partial small subunit ribosomal RNA". The record is from RNAcentral. Lineage: Eukaryota; Viridiplantae; Streptophyta; Magnoliopsida; Poales; Poaceae.